GUGCCGCUAGCUCAGUUGGUAGAGCAUCUGACUUUUAAUCAGAUGGUCGUAGGUUCGAUCCCUACGCGGCACACCA
This 76-nucleotide transfer RNA is filed under the name Desulfuromonas sp. RNAcentral's name for it is "tRNA-Lys". It matches the Rfam family "tRNA". From Rfam's summary of the family: Transfer RNA (tRNA) molecules are approximately 80 nucleotides in length. Lineage: Bacteria; Pseudomonadati; Thermodesulfobacteriota; Desulfuromonadia; Desulfuromonadales; Desulfuromonadaceae. RNAcentral also lists the same sequence under 11 other names. The record is from RNAcentral.